GUGGGGAAUCUUCCGCAAUGGACGAAAGUCUGACGGAGCAACGCCGCGUGAGUGAAGAAGGUUUUCGGAUCGUAAAGCUCUUUCGUUAGGGACGAACGUGCUCUUUGUGAAUAAUGAGGAGUAAUGACGGUACCUAAAUAAGAAGCCACGGCUAACUACGUGCCAGCAGCCGCGGUAAUACGUAGGUGGCAAGCGUUGUCCGGAAUUAUUGGGCGUAAAGCGCGCGCAGGCGGGAUAUCAAGUCUGUCUUAAAAGUGCGAGGCUCAACCUCGUGAGGGGACAGAAACUGGUAUUCUUGAGUGUCGGAGAGGAAAGUGGAAUUCCAAGUGUAGCGGUGAAAUGCGUAGAGAUUUGGAAGAACACCAGUGGCGAAGGCGACUUUCUGGACGAUGUCUGACGCUGAGGCGCGAAAGCUAGGGGAGCGAACGGGAUUAGAAACCCCGGUAGUCC
RNAcentral lists this ribosomal RNA (450 nucleotides) under uncultured bacterium. Its description in RNAcentral is "partial 16S ribosomal RNA". It matches the Rfam family "Bacterial small subunit ribosomal RNA", at positions 354 to 796 of the family's 1533-position model. The record is from RNAcentral.